ACACAAUUUAUUUCUUAAACAUUCAUUUUAUUUAUUUGCAAUAUUAUUACUAUUAAGUCCUUUUUACUGAUUAAUUUAAUUAUUGAUGUACUUAUCAAUUGUAAUUCAUGUUUUUUUAAAUAUAAGUUGCACCUUGAUCUAAUUUUUAAUAACUUAAUAUUAUUAAUAUUUUAUCGUUAAGAUUUAUAAAAAUGACGAUAUACAAACUAAUUUAAUUUAAAUUUAAAAAUUCGUGGAUUGUCGAUUAUAAACACAAAUUCCCCUAAUAAGUUUUAAAUUACCGUCAGGUUUUUUAAGUUUUG
Molecule: ribosomal RNA, 302 nt
Filed under: Parabathynellidae sp. (Browns Range) EM-2019
Lineage: Eukaryota; Metazoa; Arthropoda; Malacostraca; Bathynellacea; Parabathynellidae
Description: partial small subunit ribosomal RNA
Source: RNAcentral